GCAUUGGUGGUUCAGUGGUAGAAUUCUCGCCUGCCAUGCGGGAGACCUGGGUCCAAUUCCUGGCCAAUGCA
This is a non-coding RNA of Etheostoma spectabile (orangethroat darter), 71 nucleotides long. NCBI's taxonomy places the organism in Eukaryota, Metazoa, Chordata, Actinopteri, Perciformes, Percidae. The record is from the annotation of a RefSeq genome assembly.